AUUGAACGCUGGCGGCAGGCCUAACACAUGCAAGUCGAACGGUAACAGGAAGCAGCUUGCUGCUUUGCUGACGAGUGGCGGACGGGUGAGUAAUGUCUGGGAAACUGCCCGAUGGAGGGGGAUAACUACUGGAAACGGUAGCUAAUACCGCAUAACGUCGCAAGACCAAAGAGGGGGACCUUAGGGCCUCUUGCCAUCGGAUGUGCCCAGAUGGGAUUAGCUAGUAGGUGGGGUAACGGCUCACCUAGGCGACGAUCCCUAGCUGGUCUGAGAGGAUGACCAGCCACACUGGAACUGAGACACGGUCCAGACUCCUACGGGAGGCGGCAGUGGGGAAUAUUGCACAAUGGGCGCAAGCCUGAUGCAGCCAUGCCGCGUGUAUGAAGAAGGCCUUCGGGUUGUAAAGUACUUUCAGCGGGGAGGAAGGGAGUAAAGUUAAUACCUUUGCUCAUUGACGUUACCCGCAGAAGAAGCACCGGCUAACUCCGUG
This 490-nucleotide ribosomal RNA is filed under the name uncultured bacterium. Its description in RNAcentral is "partial 16S ribosomal RNA". It matches the Rfam family "Bacterial small subunit ribosomal RNA", at positions 30 to 507 of the family's 1533-position model. The record is from RNAcentral.